GUUCGACAACAUCCGUGAGGCCGUGGAGCGCUACCCCUUCGCCGCCAUGGACACCGAGUUCCCCGGCGUCGUUCACCGCUCCCGGAAGCACCCCGCCCACCUCUCCACCGCCGAGCGGUACGCGCUGCUCAAAGCCAACGUCGACGACCUCCACCUCAUCCAAGUCGGGCUCACCCUCUCCGACGCCGCCGGCAACCUCCCCGACCUCUGCGACGACGGCGGCGUCCGCUACAUCUGGGAGUUCAACUUCAGUGAUUUCGACCUCUACCGCGACCGCUACGCCCCCGAGUCCAUCGACCUCCUCAAGUCCAACGGGAUCGACUUCGAGAAGAACCGGGCGCGGGGAAUCGACUCCCGCCAC
Molecule: long non-coding RNA, 361 nt
Filed under: Musa acuminata (dwarf banana)
Lineage: Eukaryota; Viridiplantae; Streptophyta; Magnoliopsida; Zingiberales; Musaceae
Description: long non-coding RNA (MACU_LNC003250)
Source: RNAcentral